Molecule: non-coding RNA, 31 nt
Filed under: Homo sapiens (human)
Lineage: Eukaryota; Metazoa; Chordata; Mammalia; Primates; Hominidae
Source: RNAcentral
UCAAACUCCUGACCUCAUGAUCCGCCUGCCU